This 974-nucleotide ribosomal RNA is filed under the name gut metagenome. RNAcentral's name for it is "bacterial SSU rRNA". It matches the Rfam family "Bacterial small subunit ribosomal RNA", at positions 537 to 1520 of the family's 1533-position model. The record is from RNAcentral.
AGCGUUAUCCGGAAUUAUUGGGCGUAAAGGGUGCGCAGGCGGUUUGUUAAGUUUAAGGUGAAAGCGUGGGGCUUAACCCCAUAUAGCCUUAGAAACUGACAGACUAGAGUACAGGAGAGGGCAAUGGAAUUCCAUGUGUAGCGGUAAAAUGCGUAGAUAUAUGGAGGAACACCAGUGGCGAAGGCGGUUGCCUGGCCUGUAACUGACGCUCAUGCACGAAAGCGUGGGGAGCAAAUAGGAUUAGAUACCCUAGUAGUCCACGCCGUAAACGAUGAGAACUAAGUGUUGGGGAAACUCAGUGCUGCAGUUAACGCAAUAAGUUCUCCGCCUGGGGAGUAUGCACGCAAGUGUGAAACUCAAAGGAAUUGACGGGGGCCCGCACAAGCGGUGGAGUAUGUGGUUUAAUUCGACGCAACGCGAAGAACCUUACCAGGUCUUGACAUCCCCUGCAAAGACAUAGAGAUAUGUUGGAGGUUAUCAGGGAGACAGGUGGUGCAUGGUUGUCGUCAGCUCGUGUCGUGAGAUGUUGGGUUAAGUCCCGCAACGAGCGCAACCCUUGUCUUUAGUUGCUAACAUUAAGUUGAGGACUCUAGAGAGACUGCCGGUGACAAACCGGAGGAAGGUGGGGAUGACGUCAAAUCAUCAUGCCCCUUAUGACCUGGGCUACACACGUACUACAAUGGCGGAUACAACGAGAAGCAAGACAGUGAUGUGGAGCAAAACUCAGAAAGUCCGUCUCAGUUCGGAUUGAAGUCUGCAACCCGACUUCAUGAAGCCGGAAUCGCUAGUAAUCGCGGAUCAGCAUGCCGCGGUGAAUACGUUCUCGGGCCUUGUACACACCGCCCGUCAAACCAUGAGAGUUGGCAAUACCCGAAGCCGGUGGCCUAACCUCGCAAGAGGAGGGAGCCGUCGAAGGUAGGGCUGAUGAUUGGGGUUAAGUCGUAACAAGGUAUCCCUACGGGAACGUGGGGAUG